Sardina pilchardus (European sardine) is the source of this 2269-nucleotide long non-coding RNA. RefSeq lists it as uncharacterized. NCBI's taxonomy places the organism in Eukaryota, Metazoa, Chordata, Actinopteri, Clupeiformes, Clupeidae. The transcript has 3 exons. The record is from RefSeq and is a predicted model, not a curated record.
CUUUCCUGUUAUGCGUAUGACUACAUUUGAUGUAGCACUAAGCAGCGCAUUGAUACAAUAGUUAGAGAGUUAAAGCAUACAAGUAAAUAAUUGACUGACGUAUACUGAAGUGAAGUUAACCAAAACAUUGUCACUUUACUCUGGUGUUUAUUGAUUGUUUGUUGUGAAGUGAAGAACAUAACAUCCGCUCAGUUAGAAACACAUAAAACUACAAGAGUGUCUUCUACUACACACUGUUAAGCAUGUUAUUAAAUACUGUGUUCUUAAUUUUGAAGCAUAAUUCCUAAAUUAACUCUCAUCUGUAAAUCAUGCCUAUACACAAUUAUGUUUGUUCAUAGCAAACACGCGCAUCUGUUUUAUAUUUCUGAAUUUAUAGCUAAAAUAGCCAUGGGCAGGCGUAGUGUAGUGGAUAAGGCAUUGGGCUAGCAUGCUGUAAGCUUAAGAAUAUUCGGGGUUCAAUCCCCGGGUGCCACCAUUGUGGCUUUGCUCUUUAAUUUCAUUGAUAGUGUAAGUCUCUUUGGAUGAAAGUGUCUUAAUAAAUGCAACUGUAACCUUUAUAACUGAUUUGUAAAUAUGUAGCAAGGCAUAUACAGUCCUCACUUUAGAUCAGCUCACAAAAAUCAUUAACUAUAACCACUUGUAACUCCUGAGUUAAUCAUGAAUUACAGUAUGAGAAUUAACAUAGGAGUAAUACUUUACAAAUGAUGAUCAACGCAUUUACUAAUAGUUUGUAACUGGUUCAUAAUAGGGAUAUGAUUUCAUUUAUACAUGGUUAUUUCAUUAUAUAUAAGGCAUAAACCAUGUAUUUACAAACAUUUGUUUUAUUUACUAUGAACAAACCAUUCAUAACUUUGUGAACAAAUGCUUUACUGAUGAUGAAUUAUGCAUGAACAAUAAAUUACUAAUGAUGAACAAACGAUUAACUAAUGAUUAACAAAUGCUUAAUAAAUGAUAAAUUGUGUGUAGUUAUUAUAAAGUGUUACCGAACUCUUUGAUGUUCUUGGUGUUGCGAACCAGGUUGUCGUUGGUGCUCUACAUCACAUUGUUAGAUGCUAAAUCUCCUCUCUGCAGGCCGUCUAAUCAUUGUUGCUGAUGAGACCAAUCACCGCUGUGCACUCUUAAAAUUGGGAGAGCCUCCAGUCACUUUCGUAGUUUGCAUGGAGAGGAGGUUCCUGGAGGAACCCCAAACUUGUUCAAAUUUCUAAGUCCAACGGUUUUCGUCACUUGGCCAAGUCUGCAGCAAACAGCUAACAGGUGGGUAAUCUUUUGAUUUGUAGAUAAAGUUAUUGAUGCUCCCAUUUAGAUGUCGAUAAUAAUAUUACAUGGAUUAAAGGGUCGCGUUAUUUAUGUUAGCCAUGUUUACGUUACAGUCCAUGCUAGCUUGAUAUUGAUUUUUUUUUACUGCUAGCAAUCAAGUGUUUUCAGACAUGUUUAGUCCAACAGCAGAAUGACCAGUUUUAACUGUCAUUCGACCCAUAAAGGUAUAUGAAAGUCAGCUAGCUACUUAUUUUCCACUUCCCAGGCAGUUAGCCUAAGCCUCCUGCCUUGUUAACGUUUAGUGUAAGUGGCGGGGGUCUCCUAGUUGUUGGUGCGUUAACAUUAGCCAGAGACGGUCAUCAUAUUGCUAACUUCAUGAUAACAUUUGACGUUUUUUUUAUAUGUCGACGUUCGUUAUAUCGUUACAGAUGUAUGAAACUAAAGGUGUAUGUUACUGCUAACUUGGGGUAGCCUAUGAGGUCUACCUUGGCUUUUUCCAUGGUGUUAUGAUAAACUUGCUCAAUUACGAAAAUCUAGCGUCGUCCCUUUAUGAACCUAGCUAAUAGUAGUAGACGGUUUCCCCAAUAGCAGCUAGGCCUAGCCUACAGCAAACAAGACUACAGCACUGCUAACCAUACAUUCACUUAAUAAAACAAGCUAUUCAUGAAACUUUCUUUCUUAUCUUUCUUUUUUAUUUUUGCAGAAUGAACAGAUCAUCAACAUCGCAGUGGCCAGUUGAGGUUGUCUGUGAGUGGCUUGAAUCAAAUAACCUGGACCAGUACACAGAAGAAUUCAGAGAGAAUGACAUCGAUGGAGAAACCUUGCUUUUACUGACAGACCAUAUGGUUGAAAAUCUCAUUCCAAAUAUCAGAAAUCAGGUUGUUUUCCUAAAAAAGCUGGAGAGUUUAAAGCAAAGAAAUGAAUCUGAAGCCAAUACUUCAUCAUCUGGAACCCCAGAAAUCCCAAAAGAACCCCCCCACAACAAAAAAGGAAUGGCCAGUCACUUGCAGGC